Molecule: ribosomal RNA, 1477 nt
Filed under: metagenome
Description: bacterial SSU rRNA
Rfam family: Bacterial small subunit ribosomal RNA
Source: RNAcentral
AGAGUUUGAUCCUGGCUCAGAACGAACGCUGGCGGCAUGGAUUAGGCAUGCAAGUCGAACGGACUUUCAGAAGCUUGCUUCUGAAAGUUAGUGGCGAAAGGGUGAGUAACGCGUGAGUAACUUGCCCCCAAGUCGGGAAUAACACCUUGAAAGGGGUGCUAAUACCGGAUGUGGAUGUUCACCCGCAUGUGUGAACAUCUAAAGAUUUAUCGCUUGGGGAUGGGCUCGCGUCCCAUUAGCUAGUUGGUAAGGUAACGGCUUACCAAGGCUACGAUGGGUAGUUGGUCUGAGAGGAUGAUCAGCCACACUGGGACUGAGACACUGCCCAGACUCCUACGGGAGGCUGCAGUCGAGAAUCUUCCGCAAUGCGCGAAAGCGUGACGGAGCGAUGCCGCGUGCCGGAUGAAGGUCUUCGGAUUGUAAACGGCUGUCACCCGGAACGAAUAAUGACGGUACCGGGAGAGGAAGCCACGGCUAACUACGUGCCAGCAGCCGCGGUAAUACGUAGGUGGCGAGCGUUGUUCGGAUUUAUUGGGCGUAAAGGGUCCGCAGGGUGUCUGCUAAGUCUGAUGUGAAAUCCUAUGGCUCAACCAUAGAACUGCAUUGGAAACUGGUGGACUUGAGUACCGGAGAGGAAAGUGGAAUUCCUGGUGUAGCGGUGGAAUGCGUAGAUAUCAGGAGGAACACCAAAGGCGAAGGCAGCUUUCUGGACGGUUACUGACCCUCAUGGACGAAAGCGUGGGUAGCAAACAGGAUUAGAUACCCUGGUAGUCCACGCCGUAAACGUUGUAUACUGGUUGUAGGAGGAAUUAGUCCCUUCUGUGACUGAGCUAACGCAUUAAGUAUACCGCCUGGGGACUACGGCCGCAAGGCUAAAACUCAAAGGAAUUGACGGGGGCCCGCACAAGCGGUGGAGCAUGUGGCUUAAUUCGAGGCAACGCGAAGAACCUUACCUGGACUUGACAUCGAGUGACCGGCUUGGAAACAAGCCUUUCCUUCGGGACACGAAGACAGGUGCUGCAUGGCUGUCGUCAGCUCGUGCCGUGAGGUGUUCGGUUAAGUCCGGCAACGAGCGCAACCCGUGUCAUUAGUUGCCAUCAGGUAAUGCUGGGAACUCUAAUGAGACUGCCCGUGUCAAGCGGGAGGAAGGCGCGGAUGACGUCAAGUCAGUAUGGCCCUUAUGUCCAGGGCUGCACACGUGCUACAAUGGGCGGCACAAUGGGGAGCAAUACCGCGAGGUGGAGCAAAUCCUGAAAACCGUCCUUAGUUCGGAUUGUAGUCUGCAACUCGACUACAUGAAGUCGGAAUCGCUAGUAAAGGCGUAUCAGCUACGACGCCUUGAAUACGUUCCCGGGCCUUGUACACACCGCCCGUCACAUCAUGGGAGCUGAUUGCACCCGAAGUCGUUGACCCAACUCUUUUGAGAGGGAGACGCCGAAGGUGUGGUUAGUGACUGGGAUGAAGUCGUAACAAGGUA